Molecule: ribosomal RNA, 286 nt
Filed under: uncultured bacterium
Lineage: Bacteria
Description: partial 16S ribosomal RNA
Rfam family: Bacterial small subunit ribosomal RNA
Source: RNAcentral
UGCUACCUACGGGGCGCAGCAGUAGGGAAUUUUCGUCAAAGGGCGCAAGCCUGAACGAGCGAUGCCGCGUGAGUGAAGAAGGCCUUCGGGUCGUAAAGCUCUGUUGCGGGGGAAAAAAGGCAGCAUCAGGAAAUGGGUGCUGACUGAUGGUGCCCCGCCAGAAAGCCACGGCUAACUACGUGCCAGCAGCCGCGGUAAUACGUAGGUGGCGAGCGUUAUCCGGACUGAUUGGGCGUAAAGGGUGCGCAGGCGGUCCUGCAAGUCUGGAGGGAAACGCAUGAGCUCA